AUACUUUCAAAAUUACAAAUUUACAUAGAAAUUGAAAUAGUUACUUCCUGAGAACAAAUCGAAAUACUCAAUUUUGGUAGUGUACUUUAUCAAGCAUGAUUGUUUUGAAGUCAUUUCUAUGUUGCAUGUCUCUACGACUCGGGUGCGUCUUACUUGGUUACUUUAUCAUCCUGCACGGUUUUGCAAAUGUGUAUUUAGUGGUAUUGGAAUACGGACAAAUUUGUCAUCGUAUGAUCGUGAUAUGGUUUCUGCAUGCACAGAUUAAUAUAAUUGCUGGAAUCUUACUACUGACUGUCGCAUAUAAUCACUGCGGGUCAAGUGAAAGCACAUUUUGUUGGUAUCUCGGGAAUUCAGACGCUGUGCAGACCUUCAAAUUGAAUUUACGCCGGCUUCAGGAACAGCUUCGGGCUCGGGUCUUGGGUACUGGGUACUGCGUAUUGGGGAUCAGUGCCAAAAAAUUGAAAUCGAAAUCGAAAUGUAAACCUGACUGCUAUAAAAAUGGGCGUAGGGCAUCCGCUCUGACACGCGGCCAUAUUUUAAAUGUCAACAGGCGGCGGCAACUAACCGAAGAUCUCGAAACCCGGCAGCAGCCACUGGAGCCACAGCAGCCAAGGAUGCAGUUCCACACCGUAGUCGCCUUGUCCGUGUGCAUCAAAAAUUCAAUAAAAUACCAUUAAAUUACAAAAUGAAGACAA
RNA transcript from Drosophila montana, 695 nucleotides. It is a transcript of the gene named male sterile (2) 35Ci, with no coding region annotated. The transcript has 2 exons. NCBI's taxonomy places the organism in Eukaryota, Metazoa, Arthropoda, Insecta, Diptera, Drosophilidae. The record is from RefSeq and is a predicted model, not a curated record.